This 440-nucleotide ribosomal RNA is filed under the name uncultured bacterium. RNAcentral's name for it is "partial 16S ribosomal RNA". It matches the Rfam family "Bacterial small subunit ribosomal RNA", at positions 338 to 795 of the family's 1533-position model. The record is from RNAcentral.
CCUACGGGUGGCUGCAGUGGGGAAUAUUGCACAAUGGGGGAAACCCUGAUGCAGCGACGCCGCGUGAGUGAUGACGUACUUCGUUAUGUAAAGCCCUAUUUGCAGGGAAGCAAAUGACGGUACCUGAGUAAGAAGCCCCGGCUAGCUACGUGCCAGCAGCCGCGGUAAUACGGCGGGGGCAAGCGUUAUACGGAUUUACUGGGGGUAAAGGGAGCGUAGGCGGGAGUGCAAGUCUGGAGUGAAAGGCGCGGGCUCAACCCCCGGACUGAUCUUGAAACUGUUCGUCUUGAGUGAGGGAGAGGUACGUGGAAUUCGUGGUGGAGCGGUGAAAUGCGUAGAUAUUAGGAGGAACACCAGUGGCGAAGGCGGCGUACUGGACUGUAACUGACGCUGAGGCACGAAAGCGUGGGGAGCAAACAGGAUUAGAUACCCGUGUAGUC